CGCGUAGGCGGCUUGUCAAGUCCGGGGUGAAAGCCUCCAGCUUAACUGGAGAAGUGCCUCGGAUACUGACAAGCUCGAGCGAGGUAGGGGCGGGUGGAACUUCCGGUGGAGCGGUGAAAUGCGUUGAUAUCGGAAGGAACGCCGGUGGCGAAAGCGACCCGCUGGACCUCUUCUGACGCUGAGGCGCGAAAGCUAGGGUAGCAACG
This 206-nucleotide ribosomal RNA is filed under the name uncultured bacterium. Its description in RNAcentral is "partial 16S ribosomal RNA". It matches the Rfam family "Bacterial small subunit ribosomal RNA", at positions 568 to 773 of the family's 1533-position model. The record is from RNAcentral.